Molecule: ribosomal RNA, 407 nt
Filed under: uncultured bacterium
Lineage: Bacteria
Description: bacterial SSU rRNA
Rfam family: Bacterial small subunit ribosomal RNA
Source: RNAcentral
AACGAACGCUGGCGGCAGGCCUAACACAUGCAAGUCGAACGCCCUAGCAAUAGGGAGUGGCAGACGGGUGAGUAACACGUGGGAACGUUCCUUUCGGUUCGGAAUAACCCAGGGAAACUUGGACUAAUACCGGGUACGUGCGAGAGCAGAAAGAUUUAUCGCCGAAAGAUCGGCCCGNGUCCGAUUAGCUAGUUGGUGAGGUAACGGCUCACCAAGGCGACGAUCGGUAGCUGGUCUGAGAGGAUGAUCAGCCACACUGGGACUGAGACACGGCCGGACUCCUACGGAGGCAGCAGUGGGGAAUAUUGGACAAUGGGCGCAAGCCUGAUCCAGCCAUGCCGCGUGAGUGAUGAAGGCCCUAGGUUGUAAAGCUCUUUCGCCAGGGACGAUAAUGACGGUACCUGGAU